UCCAGUACUAUCCGCCAUGAAAUAAAA
Molecule: small RNA, 27 nt
Filed under: Bombyx mori (domestic silkworm)
Lineage: Eukaryota; Metazoa; Arthropoda; Insecta; Lepidoptera; Bombycidae
Description: ovarian small RNA-26858
Source: RNAcentral